Falco peregrinus (peregrine falcon) is the source of this 413-nucleotide long non-coding RNA. RefSeq lists it as uncharacterized. The transcript has 3 exons. The record is from RefSeq and is a predicted model, not a curated record. NCBI's taxonomy places the organism in Eukaryota, Metazoa, Chordata, Aves, Falconiformes, Falconidae.
GAAAUGCAGUCUAAGUCCAUGAAGAGAUUGUUACAUGAUACUUCUUUCCAGAUUUUUUUUCAGCAUUUCCCUGUUACAGCUCUGAACAGCAAAAGGUAACUAAAUCAGAAGACAUGCUAUAUCCAAUGAACUCAAUGAGAAAAGAAAAAGAAAACCCUAAAAACCUAUUCUGGUUCUUGCCCACCUACUUUCAUAUGUGACUGGCUGAUUCUGUGAAAAUGCAUCAGCACUAUGUGGUACCUAUCUAAGCCAGGGAAUCACAUGAUUACCUGUGCGAGCCCAAAGCUCUCCCUACAGAGAAACACCAGAAGGUGUAUCACUUCCAGAAAAUAGCAUGUGGAGUAUGCUGGGCAUUCCUUUUUUAACAGGUAUGAUUAAGAGAACUUUUAAUAUGAAAUAUAUAAUGUCAGGAG